UCGUGAGACAGUUCGGUCCCUAUCUGUUGUGGGCGCGGGAGACUUGAGGGGCUCUGGCACUAGUACGAGAGGACCGUGCCGGACGGACCUACGGUAUGCCGGUUGUGCCGCCAGGCGCAUCGCCGGGUAGCCGCGUCCGGGAAGGAUAAGCGCUGAAGGCAUCUAAGCGCGAAGCCUGCCCCGAGAUUAGGUCUCCAUAGAGGGCCGUCGGAGACUACGACGUCGAUAGGCCGCAGGUGCAAGCGCGGCGACGCGCUCAGCCGAGCGGUACUAAUAGCCCGAGAGCUUCUUGUA
Molecule: ribosomal RNA, 294 nt
Filed under: Candidatus Aphodosoma intestinipullorum
Lineage: Bacteria; Pseudomonadati; Bacteroidota; Bacteroidia; Bacteroidales
Description: partial 23S ribosomal RNA
Rfam family: Bacterial large subunit ribosomal RNA
Source: RNAcentral